Molecule: ribosomal RNA, 508 nt
Filed under: uncultured bacterium
Lineage: Bacteria
Description: bacterial SSU rRNA
Rfam family: Bacterial small subunit ribosomal RNA
Source: RNAcentral
UGCAAGUCGAGGGGUAACGGAAGUAGCUUGCUACUAGACGACGACCGGCGCACGGGUGAGUAACGCGUAUGUAAUCUGCCUUGUACAGAGGGAUAGCCCAGAGAAAUUUGGAUUAAUACCUCAUAGUAUUACUGAAUCGCAUGAUUCGGUAAUUAAAGCUCCGGCGGUACAAGAUGAACAUGCGUGACAUUAGCUAGUUGGUAAGGUAACGGCUUACCAAGGCAACGAUGUCUAGGGGUUCUGAGGGGAUGAUCCCCCACACUGGUACUGAGACACGGACCAGACUCCUACGGGAGGCAGCAGUGAGGAAUAUUGGUCAAUGGACGCAAGUCUGAACCAGCCAUCCCGCGUGAAGGAUGACUGCCCUAUGGGUUGUAAACUUCUUUUAUAUGCAAAUAAACCUACUUUCGUGAAAGUAGCUGAAGGUAGCAUAUGAAUAAACACCGGCUAACUCCGUGCCAGCAGCCGCGGUAAUACGGAGGGUGUAAGCGUUAUCCGGAUUUAUUGG